Molecule: ribosomal RNA, 492 nt
Filed under: uncultured bacterium
Lineage: Bacteria
Description: partial 16S ribosomal RNA
Rfam family: Bacterial small subunit ribosomal RNA
Source: RNAcentral
AGUGAACGCUGGCGGUAGGCCUAACACAUGCAAGUCGAACGGCAGCACAGUAAGAGCUUGCUCUUACGGGUGGAGAGUGGCGGACGGGUGAGGUAUACAUCGGAAUCUACUUUUUCGUGGGGGCUAACGUAGGGAAACUUAUGCUAAUACCGCAUAUGACCUACGGGUGAAAGCAGGGGAUCUUCGGACCUUGCGCGAUUGAAUGAGCCGAUGUCGGAUUAGCUAGUUGGCGGGGUAAAGGCCCACCAAGGCGACGAUCCGUAGCUGGUCUGAGAGGAUGAUCAGCCACACUGUAACUGAGACACAUGCCAGACACCGACGGGAGGCAGCAGUGGGGAAUAUUGGACAAUGGGCGCAAGCCUGAUCCAGCCAUACCGCGUGGGUGAAGAAGGCCCUCUGGUUGUAAAGCCAUUUUGUUGGGAAAGAAAAGCAGCAGGUUAAUACCCCGCUGUUCUGACGGUACCCAAAGAAUAAGCACCGGCUAACUUCGUG